This 804-nucleotide ribosomal RNA is filed under the name uncultured marine bacterium. Its description in RNAcentral is "bacterial SSU rRNA". It matches the Rfam family "Bacterial small subunit ribosomal RNA", at positions 86 to 927 of the family's 1533-position model. The record is from RNAcentral.
CAAUACUUAGCGGCAGACGGGUGAGUAACAUGUGGGUAUCUGCCCUUUGGUUUGGAAUAACACGAGGAAACUUGUGCUAAUACCGAAUAAGUCUUUACGGAGAAAGCUUUAUGCGCCAAUGGAUGAGCCCGCACUUGAUUAGUUUGUUGGUGGGGUAAUGGCCUACCAAGACUUUGAUCAAUAGCUGAUUUGAGAGGAUGAUCAGCCACAUUGGGACUGAGACACGGCCCAAACUCCUACGGGAGGCAGCAGUGGGGAAUCUUGCACAAUGGAGGAAACUCUGAUGCAGCGAUGCCGCGUGAGUGAAGAAGGCCCUUGGGUUGUAAAGCUCUUUCGUCGGGGAAGAAAAUGACUGUACCCGAAUAAGAAGGUCCGGCUAACUUCGUGCCGGCAGCCGCGGUAAUACGAAGGGACCUAGCGUAGUUCGGAAUUACUGGGCUUAAAGAGUUCGUAGGUGGUUGAAAAAGUUGGUGGUGAAAUCCCAGAGCUUAACUCUGGAACUGCCAUCAAAACUUUUCAGCUAGAGUUUGAUAGAGGAAAGCAGAAUUUCUAGUGUAGAGGUGAAAUUCGUAGAUAUUAGAAAGAAUACCGAUUGCGAAGGCAGCUUUCUGGAUCAUUACUGACACUGAGGAACGAAAGCAUGGGUAGCGAAGAGGAUUAGAUACUCUCGUAGUCCAUGCCGCAAACGAUGUGUGUUAGACGUUGGAAAUUUAUUUUCAGUGUCGCAGCGAAAGCGAUAAACACACCGCCUGGGGAGUACGACCGCAAGGUUAAAACUCAAAUGAAUUGACGGGGACCCGCACA